GACGAACGCUGGCGGCGUGCUUAACACAUGCAAGUCGAACGGAAAGGCCCUGCUUUUGUGGGGUGCUCGAGUGGCGAACGGGUGAGUAACACGUGAGUAACCUGCCCUUGACUUUGGGAUAACUUCAGGAAACUGGGGCUAAUACCGGAUAGGAGCUCCUGCUGCAUGGUGGGGGUUGGAAAGUUUCGGCGGUUGGGGAUGGACUCGCGGCUUAUCAGCUUGUUGGUGGGGUAGUGGCUUACCAAGGCUUUGACGGGUAGCCGGCCUGAGAGGGUGACCGGCCACAUUGGGACUGAGAUACGGCCCAGACUCGUACGGGAGGCAGCGGUGGGGAAUAUUGCACCAUGGGCGGAAGCCUGAUGCAGCAACGCCGCGUGCGGGAUGACGGCCUUCGGGUUGUAAACCGCUUUCGCCUGUGACGAAGCGUGAGUGACGGUAAUGGGUAAAGAAGCACCGGCUAACUACGUG
RNAcentral lists this ribosomal RNA (468 nucleotides) under uncultured bacterium. Its description in RNAcentral is "partial 16S ribosomal RNA". It matches the Rfam family "Bacterial small subunit ribosomal RNA", at positions 28 to 507 of the family's 1533-position model. The record is from RNAcentral.